GGUGAGUAACGCGUAGGAAUCUACCCAGUAGCGGGGGAUAAGCCAGAGAAAUUUGGUCUAAUACCGCAUACGCCCUUCGGGGGAAAGCAGGGGAUCUUCGGACCUUGCACUAUUGGAUGAGCCUGCGUGAGAUUAGCUUGUUGGUGAGGUAAUGGCUCACCAAGGCGACGAUCUCUAGCUGGUUUUAGAGGAUGAUCAGCAACACUGGAACUGAGACACGGUCCAGACUCCUACGGGAGGCAGCAGUGGGGAAUAUUGCACAAUGGGCGCAAGCCUGAUGCAGCCAUGCCGCGUGUGUGAAGAAGGCCCUAGGGUUGUAAAGCACUUUCAGCAGUGAGGAAAGGUUAGUAGCUAAUACCUGCUAGCUGUGACGUUAACUGCAGAAGAAGCACCGGCUAACUCCGUGCCAGCAGCCGCGGUAAUACGGAGGGUGCGAGCGUUAAUCGGAAUUACUGGGCGUAAAGCGCGCGUAGGUGGAUUGGUCAGUCAGAUGUGAAAGCCCAGGGCUCAACCUUGGAACUGCACCUGAUACUGCCAAUCUAGAAUACGG
This 550-nucleotide ribosomal RNA is filed under the name uncultured bacterium. RNAcentral describes it as "bacterial SSU rRNA". It matches the Rfam family "Bacterial small subunit ribosomal RNA", at positions 105 to 651 of the family's 1533-position model. The record is from RNAcentral.